GAGAUCAGGUGAAUUGGGCUGCUUUUGAAGGUUUGAGAACUGUGAUUUUCCCGUUCUGAUUUAAGAUGUAGACUGACAAAAUAAAGACUUCCUCCAAAUCACUGGUGUAGAGUUGCUGCCCUGGGAGCAAUGUUGUAGCAAUGGAGCAUUUCUUUUCCCACACAGCUGGAAUUGUUGCAGGGAGCAUUGAUUCUUCAGGUUUUUGCUUCACAGAACACUAAUACCAAUAAAGUUUAAAUAGGUAUGCA
RNAcentral lists this long non-coding RNA (248 nucleotides) under Salvator merianae (Argentine black and white tegu). Its description in RNAcentral is "lncRNA (ENSSMRG00000012758.1)". Lineage: Eukaryota; Metazoa; Chordata; Lepidosauria; Squamata; Teiidae. The record is from RNAcentral.